This 217-nucleotide long non-coding RNA is filed under the name Nicotiana benthamiana. RNAcentral's name for it is "long non-coding RNA (NBEN_LNC005247)". The record is from RNAcentral. Lineage: Eukaryota; Viridiplantae; Streptophyta; Magnoliopsida; Solanales; Solanaceae.
AUCCUACUCUGGUAUAGUCGACCUUGCUAGAAAGAUUGAAAAUAAGGGGCGUGAGGAGUGUGCAGCUAGUGAUUUACGUAAGAAGGCCAAGAAAGUAGGGGCUUUCGGUGGUGGUUUUAGUGAAAAUAGAAGAGCGGGAAAUCAGGGACAACAACAACAACAGGGUUCUCAGACAGGGACACACAUGUCUUCACAGUCCACAUACAGACCACCUUAC